Molecule: long non-coding RNA, 1112 nt
Organism: Gasterosteus aculeatus aculeatus (three-spined stickleback)
Lineage: Eukaryota; Metazoa; Chordata; Actinopteri; Perciformes; Gasterosteidae
Source: Ensembl
CCGCAAACUGAAACCCUGCGGCUCUGGGAUCGAGAGGAGUUCCGCAGAGUUGGGGUUUCACACGUCGUUGUGUGAUCUAAGAUAAGUCACACUCAGCUGUAUCCUUCCUUCACUUAAAAAUACUCACUCUCUCUCUCACACACACACACACGCACACACACAUGCACACACACACGCGCGCACAAGCGUAACGGAAAAUAUUCCAGGAUGCCGCGUAGCACGAAAACUUUAACAUCUUCUGCACCGUGUUGUCAUCCGGGGAGAAACGUCAUUUGUCGCCGUAGCCCGCUCACGCAAUCGAUCCCUUCGACAUGAGGACAACGGCUAUCGUCUUUGCUCUGACGGAAAGCCCCGUCUGCCCCAGAGGGUCCUGCAGCGGAGAAGGUCGGGGCAGAACCUCGGCCUGCGCCGCCCCGCAGGGACCUUGUUGUCUUUGGUCCACUUUCUGUUCAUUCCCCGCACAGCUGAAAGGGAAGAACGGAUCUCUGUUUGAGACGCUACCUGCUGGAUAUUUAUGCAGCUGUGAGGCUGAAGAGGACCUUUGAUAUCUUAUUCAGGCUUCACACACAAACACACUGAGUCCUCUGUGGAACCAGAACCAUCAGCGAAAAACACACACACACACACACUGCUCGCCGGUCCGUCCACCAUCGGCGUGGGGACCUCGGAGCUCGACCCCGAGGCCCCGAGGGUGGAAGUGGUCUCGAGGUCACAGUAAGAUAAAUCCAUGAAAACGGGUGAACAGGAUGUGUGAUCCCACCCAGACGAGUUCAACAAUGAAACGAGAGAGAAGGAACGCACACUAUUAGAACUGUAAUGUAUAAAUGGAUCAAGCUGCUUAGCAACAAGACAGCGUUCUCUCCUCACAUGUACGGACAUUUAUUUAAAGACAAACGCUUUUCAGACGGAUUUGUAUUCGUCACACAGGCACAAGCACAUCGUGCAGUGACCGUGAAACCCACUGUACAUUGUGCGUGCUUGCAACUAUUGUUAAACCUGUAAGGGUUUAUAGCAAGGUGCUACUUGGUAACAGCUACUAUCCAAUGGAACUGGCCCAGCUGUUAUGGUAUUGCCAGUUUAAGCAUCUAAUAAAAGAAAUGCAUUGAUUUUUA